RNAcentral lists this unclassified non-coding RNA (286 nucleotides) under Hevea brasiliensis (rubber tree). The record is from RNAcentral. Lineage: Eukaryota; Viridiplantae; Streptophyta; Magnoliopsida; Malpighiales; Euphorbiaceae.
GUGGAUCCCUCAACAACUAGAUUGUGAGUUGUAUAUAGAGACUCCAUAGUUGUAUGACUCUCAACAAUUGAAAGAAUCAAACUGCUAACAACUGGCAGAAGUUCCUAGACUGAAAGUUUUAACUGAUGUAUAUGGAGUCUUUAUUGCAUAUAAAUUCGUAGAUUAACUGCCAAAAUAAACAAAUAGCAAAAUCAAUAAUUUGAAUUCCUAAAUAUUCUAAUAUAGUUUUAAUAUUUCUCUGUUUCAGGCUUGGAAGCACUGGUCUACUCUGUAUUGUUCAAACCUU